RNAcentral lists this ribosomal RNA (440 nucleotides) under uncultured bacterium. RNAcentral's name for it is "partial 16S ribosomal RNA". It matches the Rfam family "Bacterial small subunit ribosomal RNA", at positions 338 to 795 of the family's 1533-position model. The record is from RNAcentral.
CCUACGGGAGGCAGCAGUGGGGAAUAUUGCACAAUGGGCGAAACCCUGAUGCAGCGACGCCGCGUGAGGGAAGAAGGAUCUCGGUAUGUAAAGCUCUAUCAGCAGGGAAGAAAAUGACGGUACCUGACUAAGAAUCACCGGCUAACUACGACCCAGCAGCCGCGGCAAUACGUCGGGGGCAAGCGUUAUCCGGAUUUACUUGGCGUAAAGGGCGCGUUGACGGCAGUACAAGUCUGGAGUGAAAACCCGGGGCUUAACCCCGGAACUGCUUUUGAAACUGGGAGGCUGGAGUGCAGGAGAGGUAGGCGGAAUUCCUAGUGUAGCGGUGAAAUGCGUAGAUAUUAGGAGGAACACCGGUGGCGAAGGCGGCUUGCUGGACUGUAACUGACGUUGAGGCUCGAAAGCGUGGGGAGCAAACAGGAUUAGAUACCCGGGUAGUC